RNAcentral lists this ribosomal RNA (279 nucleotides) under uncultured bacterium. RNAcentral's name for it is "partial 16S ribosomal RNA". It matches the Rfam family "Bacterial small subunit ribosomal RNA", at positions 506 to 784 of the family's 1533-position model. The record is from RNAcentral.
UGCCAGCCGCCGCGGUAACACGGGGGGCGCCAGCGUUAUUCGGACUCACUGGGCUUAAAGGGUACGUAGGCGGCGCGGCAAGUUGGGUGUGAAAUCCCUCGGCUCAACCGAGGAAUGGCGCCCAAAACUGCCGCGCUAGAGGGGGACAGAGGUGAGUGGAACUUAGGGUGGAGCGGUGAAAUGCGUUGAUAUCCUAAGGAACACCGGUGGCGAAAGCGACUCACUGGGUCUCUUCUGACGCUGAGGUACGAAAGCUAGGGGAGCGAACGGGAUUAGAUA